GGGAACUGAUCCUGCCUCGCUGUCUGGAGCUGCUGGCUGAGGUGGGUGGGUGCUGGUGAAGCAGCUACGCAGAGACAGCGCUCCACAUGUGAGACUAGCGAUGUGUCUGUGGCUGCUUGAGUUCCUCCUGAACGUGCCACGCUGCCAUGGCACUGCAGGAUUCCCAGUCCCUUGGGGUUCCUGACCAAGUUUGCUUAACUUACCACUUCAAAAACAUUCUGUUCUAAUUGGGGCUCGCCUGCUUUUUGAUUCAUCUGUCACUGUUUGCAGUGAAGACUUUGCUAUUGCCAUGGAUAAACAAUGCUGUUGGAGACGGGAGCCAGAGUGGAAUUUGCUCAUUCCCCAGCACUGAGCUGGCUUUGCACAGUAGUGGGAAGGAAGAAUUAUACAAAUAAAUAGAGAGGGUUUGUUGUGACACCGAGACAAAGUGGAUGGAGCAAGGAAGCUUCUUUCUGUUCUUUAAACAACUCUGUGAGUAUGGUCCAGGUUGAAAAGUGUAUUGGGCUUUUUCAGACAAAGCCACGCUUUAUAUUCCCAUGUUGUAAAGUCUGGAUCUCCAGGCUGCCCUGGGCCGCUCAGACUCUCAGAUGCCCCAUGGUAAGGACUCCCUGGAUGUACAAGAAGUCCCACCAGGGCCAUUGCUCUUCACCGUCCCUCUGCUCUGGCAGUGACGCACGGCACUAAGCACCCAGCGGCAGCUGCUGACCUCGGCAGUGGCUUAUUGCAUCAGAGCUUAAGGUGGCACAUUUGUGCACUGGGAAGAUAAACCUUUAAUCCUUCUUGUACGCCCAGGUAGGGUGCAAAGAGCUGCACUUGCAGUUCCAUGGUGGCACUCUCUGGCCUUGGCAACAAGUGUGAAAAGUUAAUUGAGAGGGACUUAGGACGAGCGGGGGGUGUUUUCAUGUAACAUGAAGGAAGACCUUUGGGACUACCCAGAGUGACUGUGGCCUGCCUUGGCUGUAGCCAGCCAGGCCUUCUUUUGUCCAUGGGGCCAGCACUUCAGCUCCUUCAGACCUUCCCCACUUGGAGUGAAGGUUUCCAGCUUGGUUUCUUCCUUAAAGAGAGCACAGUGCUUUGUGCUUUGUUCCUUUAAACCUUCUGCAUGUGCAAACCUAACCCACGGGGAACACGGUAAAACUAGGCCAGGACUGAAGGAAAUUUGUUCAGGCCAAGAGGACAUAAGCUUCUGCCCACCUCGUGGCCCUGAGCUCCAGCAGCUCUGGCACAUCCUCCCAUGCUGGAUGCAGCACUCAGUCGUUCACGCCUCUGCCCAGCCCCAGC
This 1281-nucleotide long non-coding RNA is filed under the name Strigops habroptila (Kakapo). RNAcentral's name for it is "lncRNA (ENSSHBG00005019037.1)". Lineage: Eukaryota; Metazoa; Chordata; Aves; Psittaciformes; Psittacidae. The record is from RNAcentral.